CUCUCUGCUCUCUCUCUGCUCUCUCUCUCUCUCGCGUCGAAGCCCUGUCUCUCUCUCUGCUCUAUCUCUUUAGAUGAAAAAGAUGCAGACAAGAUGAUGCUGUAGAUUCGAUAUAGUCUCCCUAUUCGAGUUGUCUCUCUGGUUCGCCUCUCUAGUCUCCUAUUCGAGUAUCUCUUUGGUUCGCCUCUCUAUUCGAGUUCUCUCUCUGGUUUGGACACAACAAACAGCCAUUUGGAGCCAUAAUUUUUUCAAAUUUUAGACGACUAUACACAUCAAUUUGGAGCAAAAAAAUCAAGAUUUAUUAUAAGUGAAAUUGCAAAUUUGGAAGAACUUAGGAACAAAAUAGCCAAGCGAGUUGAGGAGCUUUCCAUUGAGGGUUCUGUCCCAACACCAUCUCCAUCUGGGAACUCCAUUGGAGCUAUCAAUCUGAAUGUUUCUAACCCAGCUAAGAUGAAUGAUUAUGUUCAUUCUUGGCUUUAGUGAACCAAUAAGUUGGAGAAGGGUCUGUCUUAGCUGCGGUUUUCCGUGGAUGUGCAUUACACAUCAAUUUGGAGCAAAAAAUCAAGAUUUGGAAGAACUGAGGAACAAAAUAGCUAAGCGAGUUGAGGAGCUUUCCAUUGAGGGUUAUGUCCUAACACCAUCUCCAUUUGGUAACUUCAUUGGAGCUACCGAUCAGAAUGUUCCUAACCCUGCUGAUAUGAAUGAUUCUGUUCAUCCUUGGCUCUACUGAACUAGUCUUCUCUACAAGGACUACCAGAGCGACCAGAAGUUUAGUGUCACUACUUACUCUUCUACUGGUGUUCCAAUUACAUGGAUAAUUCUUGGAUUCAUCAUCACACUAGGGGUAGUCGAAAGUAUUUUGAUGGCAAAAAAAGCUUCAUUAAGGUGGCUAGUCGUCAUGCAACGUCAGACCGUAGGUCUCGAUGUCCGUGUUGUCGUUGCAAAAACAUUAUGGGGUAUAUUCAAAUUGAAGAAAUUGAGCAGCAUCUCUUAAGUUAUGGGAUGGACAGGGAGUAUACCAAUUAGAUAUAUCACGGGGAGGUUCCUCAAAGCAACAAUAAUGUUAUUAAUGAUGCUAAUGUUAGUGAGGGAGCUAUCCAAGAUGAAGAUGGAAAUAUAGAUAAUGUAUUUGAGAAGUUGGAUAACGUACAAAUGGGAACCUUCGCUAAUGCACAACAAGAAGAUUCGCCUGAAAUUGAUGUGGGAGGAGGAAGCUUUGAUAAAUUGUUAAAAGAUGCACAUUGUGAAUUGUGGCCAGGUUGUACAAAAUUCUUUAAAUUGUCAGCAAUAUUAAAGUUGUUCCAUGUGAAGGUUUCAAGCCGAAUGAGCAAAAAAGCAUUUGACAUGAUGCUUGAGGCAUAUAAGGAAAUGCUCCCUAAUGGCAAUGUGUUACCAAAAUCUCAUUACUAGAUUAAAAGCUUGUUGCGAGAUUUGGGUCUCGGAUACGAGUGUAUCUAUACAUGUAAACAUGAUUGUGUUCUAUUUUGGAAGGAGAAUGCAGAUAAAGAAAACUGUCCACAAUGUGGUGAGUCGAGGUAUAAACCUCACAAAGGUAAGGAUAAGAAAAUCCCUCAAAAGGUUCUUCGGCAUUUCGCUUUAAAAUCAAGACUACAACGGUUAUUUAUAUCGAAGGAUACAGCCUUAGACAUGCGGUGGCAUAAGGAGAAAAGUAUGAAGGAGACAACUGAGUUAAGACAUCUAGCUGAUUCAAAAGCUUAGGAGGAUUUUGAUAAUAGGCAUAGUUGGUUUGCUGCAGAUCCUCGAAAUGUUCGUAUCGGAUUAGCAACUGAUGGAUUCAAUCUAUUUGGUAACAUGAGCAAUGCCUAUAGUAUGUGACCUGUGAUGAUUGUGCCUUACAAUUUGCCACCUUGGAUAUAUAUGAUUGAACCAUAUGUGUUUAUGUCAUUGCUUAUUCCUGGUCCAACAUCACCUGGUGAUGACAUUGAUGUCUAUUUGCGACCUUUGGUUAAAGAGUUUAAAGAAUUGUGGAGGGAUGGUGUGAUGACGUGUGAUGCCUAUAUUAAAUGUAACUUUAAAAUACAUGCAACAAUGAUUUGGACCAUUAUUGACUUUUUUGCCUAUGUGAUGGCAUAUGGAUGGAUGAUAAAGGGUUAUCUAGCAUGUUCGAAUUGUAAUGAACAAACAUGCUCUUGUUAUUUGAAACACGGAUGGAAGAUAUGUUAUUUAAGAAGUUGUAUGUUUUUGUCGUUAGAUCAUGUUUUCAGGAAGCGUUACAAGCAAUUUAAUGGUGAGAAGCAAGACAAAGGCCCACCAAAUUAGUUAAUAGGUGAUGAUAUUUUGGAGCAACUUAAACUUAUACUUGAGGUUAGUUUCAGAAAGGGACCAAAUAACAAGAAGUGAACUCGUGAGGAAUUUGAACUUAACUGGACAAAGAAGAGUAUUUUCUUUAAACUACCUUAUUGGUAGACCUUUUUGUUGCGGCAUAACCUGGACGUUAUGCAUAUAGAGAAAAACAUAUGCGAUAAUGUGUUGGGGACAUUAUUGGACAUCGAAGGAAAAAUGAAAGACACAUUCAAAAGUCGGUUGGAUUUAGAAGUAAUGAAAAUUAGAAAAGAACUCCAACUUAGGCGUAAUGGUGAAAAAUUUGAGAUGCCAUGAGCACGCUACACAAUGUCAAAGAAUGAUAAAAGGCAACUGUGUGAAUAGCUAAAAUCGGUUAAGUUUCCAGAUGGCUAUGCAUUAAACAUAAGUCGGUGUAUGAAUGUUAAUAACUGUAAGAUAUCUGGAUUGAAAAGUCAUGAUUCACAUGUUCUCUUACAGCGUCUCCUCCCUAUAGCUAUACGAGGAUUCUUAGAUUCUAAUAUUUGUAACACAAUAGCAAAGCUUGGUUUAUUCUUUAAAGAAUUGUGUUGUCAAACUCUUAAACUGGAUGUCUUAGAGGCAAUAGAAAGGGACAUUGCUGUUGUAUUAUGAAAGUUGGAGAUGAUAUUUCCUCCGUCAUUUUUUGACAUUAUGGUCCACUUGGCUUUGCAUUUGCCUCAUGAAGCCAUCAUCGUAGGCCCCGCACAAUAUCGGUGGAUGUACCCCAUUGGUGCUGUAUUUUUUGAGUACACCAACAUUAUUUUUAUGACAAGUUUUAUCGGUCUGUUAUAGAUAUAAAAUUCUGUAAUACUUUUAAUGAUUAUAUAGAUUUUUGUGUACUCUCAAAUUGUGUGUGCAUAACAAAGCACGUCCUGAAGGGUCCGUUGCUGAAGCUUACGUGGAUAGUGAAUGCGUCACAUUUUGUUCAAAAUUUCUCGGAGGGAUUGAGACAUGGUUCAAUCGAGAAGAAAGAAAUAGUAAGAGGGACUACAACAAUAAUUGGUCUACUAGUUCAGAUCUAAAGCAAGUGGUUCGACCUCUAGGGGAGCAAAAAUUGGAGAUAUUACCUCGUGAGGAGUUAGAGAUGACCCGAUUGUACGUGUUACAAAAUUCUGGAAUAGUUGAGUCAUACGGAGAGUAAGUAACUCAUUUCAUGUUAUGCCUUAUUAGAUUAUGUGAAUAUAUGGUGUAUUUGUUAAUACAUGUACACAAUUAUAUCUUAACAUCAUGUAAUUGCUUAGAAAACACAAGGUAGAACUUGAGAGACAAGAUCCGUGCAAUGUUCCUAAAAGACAUGCAAAAGAAUUUUCGAGAUGGUUUGAAAAACAAGUAAGUCCAUCGUGUACAUAUUGGAAUUAAUUAAAUCAUAUUCUUUCAUUAAUUUAAAUGAUGUCAUUCAUUCGCUUAACAUUAUAUUUUUUCAAUAGAUAAAGGAAAUGCGUCAUCAUCAAAGGGAAAUAACUAGUGAUGAUUUGUAUUCUUUAGCAUGUGGACCUCUAAGUCGAGUAAGUCGAUAUUCUGCUUGCAUUGUAAAUGGGAUUAGGUUCCAUACUAAGGAAAGGGAGCGAAAUCGACGAACACAGAAUAAUGGUGUGUUAGUGAAAGGAGAAAGCGAAGAUUACUAUGGUGUUCUAACAGAUAUCAUUGAGUUACAAUAUCUUUUGGGUAGACAAGUUUUUCUUUUCAAAUAUGAUUAGUUUGAUGUUAGGAGUGGUAUACAUAAAGAUACCUAUUUCAUGAGCGUAAAUGUAGCUAGUAAAGUAUACAAAAAUGAGCCAUUUGUAUUAGCAAAUCAAGCAAAACAAUGCUUCUACGUCAAAUACAACAAAUUGCAAGGAACAUGGGAGGUAGUUUAAGAUAUAACAAAUAGAAGCUCGUUUGAUGUACUUGAAGUAGAGGUUGAAGCCGGAGUAGAAGAUGAAAUGCUCAAUUCUCCAGCAUACCAAGAGAAUGAACCAAGCAUCGUUGAUAGGGUGGUUAAAGCAAACUUGGACAUGGAUCCACUCCCUUUGAACAGGGGUGAUUUGGAAAGUGAAAUUCUUGAUGCUGAAAUGAUUCAAAAAUGUAGGGGUGAAGCAGCAAUUAAUGAGGACUUUUGGGUUGUCGAGAAUGAUAAUGGAACUGACAUUGACAAUAGUUCAAAUGAGAAACUAGAAUUACUAUUCGAAGAUGAUACUGAUUUGGAUGACAUGUGAAACUUUCGUAAUGUUGAGCAUGGACAUUAUUUCCUUUGUUUUGAUCUAGUUCUAGUUUGUAGCUAGUUUGGCUUUUUCUUUUGUGCCUUGAGCUUUUGGUUCCCCUUUGUUUUGAUUGUUUGCUCCUUUAAUAGAUAUGCAACUUAUAUAAAGUUUUUAGCUGUAACUGACCAUCCUCCAAUCAUAUAUAGCAGAAAAUGUUCAUAUCUUGUUUGCUUCUUUAAUAGAAUAUGAUAGCUGGACAUAUCAUGGAAUCCGAUUCCUUGAGAUAGAUCUCAUUUUUUAUGUUGCUACAGUUUUUGCCAUUUGAUUUCUAUUAGACUAAUUAUAGAUCACUAAAUUUACAUUUUCUGUUUAUAUUAUGAAGCAUGGUAGUUUAAUAAUUAUGGACACCUCUGAGGCUCCAAUGCGUAGAGUAUUAAGGUCCCGAGUGGCUCAAACUGAGCCACCAGCUAUAAGUUUACCUGCUAGCUUGCCUUAAACUGAGGCACCAUCUACAAGUUUACCUGCUACACAGCAGAAUGGAGAAGGUGGUGGUAGUAAUUUAACAAAUCAGCAGCCUAGUAUUGAAGGUGACGGUAGUAAUUCAUAGACGAGGCCACAACCAAGUAGAAGUGAUAAAUAUGCUUCAUCAUUGAUUAACCAUAAGCUCUUUUGUAAAAUGCCUAUGUUUUAAUUAAGAUGACAAAUUUAUUU
RNA transcript from Cornus florida, 5213 nucleotides. RefSeq lists it as uncharacterized. The transcript is spliced from 5 exons. Lineage: Eukaryota; Viridiplantae; Streptophyta; Magnoliopsida; Cornales; Cornaceae. The record is from RefSeq and is a predicted model, not a curated record.